This is a non-coding RNA of Phthorimaea operculella (potato tuberworm), 72 nucleotides long. The record is from the annotation of a GenBank genome assembly. Lineage: Eukaryota; Metazoa; Arthropoda; Insecta; Lepidoptera; Gelechiidae.
GCAUCGAUAGCUCAGUGGCAGGGCGGUGGGGCGUUUACCCAUGCGGCCCGGGUUCGAUUCCCGGUCGAUGUA